Molecule: unclassified non-coding RNA, 217 nt
Filed under: uncultured Tomentella
Lineage: Eukaryota; Fungi; Basidiomycota; Agaricomycetes; Thelephorales; Thelephoraceae
Description: sequence contains ITS2
Source: RNAcentral
ACACCUCAACUCUCAUGGUCCGCCAUGAUGAGCUUGGACUUUGGGGGUCUUGCUGGCCUAUCACCGGCUCCUCUCAAAUGAAUCAGCUUGCCAGUGUUUGGUGGCAUCACGGGUGUGAUAACUAUCUACGCUUGUGGUUUCCCACCAGGUAACCUCCAGUGAUGGGGGUUCACUGAAGCUCACAAUCGUCUCUCCUCGGUGGAGACAGCUUUUGAAC